RNAcentral lists this ribosomal RNA (447 nucleotides) under uncultured bacterium. RNAcentral's name for it is "bacterial SSU rRNA". It matches the Rfam family "Bacterial small subunit ribosomal RNA", at positions 355 to 825 of the family's 1533-position model. The record is from RNAcentral.
UGGGGAAUCUUGGACAAUGGGCGCAAGCCUGAUCCAGCCAUGCCGCGUGAGUGACGAAGGCCUUAGGGUUGUAAAGCUCUUUCGGCGGGGAAGAUAAUGACGGUACCCGCAGAAGAAGCCCCGGCUAACUCUGUGCCAGCAGCCGCGGUAAUACAGAGGGGGCAAGCGUUGUUCGGAAUCACUGGGCGUAAAGCGCACGUAGGUGGAUAGUUAAGUUCGGGGUGAAAUCCCAGGGCUCAACCCUGGAACUGCCUCGGAUACUGGCUAUCUCGAGUCCGGAAGAGGUGAGUGGAAUUCCUAGUGUAGAGGUGAAAUUCGUAGAUAUUAGGAAGAAUACCGGUGGCGAAGGCGGCUCACUGGUCCGGUACUGACACUGAGGUGCGAAAGCGUGGGGAGCAAACAGGAUUAGAUACCCACGUAGUCCCUGAGCGGGCUGGCAAGGCGCAU